GCACUGCUGAGGAGUCCCACAAUAGGACAAAACGGCGGUCCAGUAC
RNAcentral lists this non-coding RNA (46 nucleotides) under Schistosoma mattheei. Lineage: Eukaryota; Metazoa; Platyhelminthes; Trematoda; Strigeidida; Schistosomatidae. The record is from RNAcentral.